Long non-coding RNA from Boleophthalmus pectinirostris (great blue-spotted mudskipper), 786 nucleotides. RefSeq lists it as uncharacterized. Lineage: Eukaryota; Metazoa; Chordata; Actinopteri; Gobiiformes; Gobiidae. The record is from RefSeq and is a predicted model, not a curated record. The transcript has 5 exons.
UCGUUCAUCUCAGGCGAAUAAACUCAUUUUUAAGAGAAAUGUGACUUUUCAAAACGUUAAACUUGUUGGAAAUGAGGCUCUAUAAGCAGGAUAAACACGUGGAUUGGAACUGAGACCUGUUCACAAAAAAGGGUGGGACCAUGUCAUUUUUUGACGACACAGCUGCAGAUGCUCCGGUCAGGGAUGUCCCUCAGAGUGUCCCCAGACUCGAUCUAGAAUCAGAAUGGCGACAUUUACUCCAAGUAAACUACCACCUGCAUGUGGCAAAUUGUCACAUGAUGUGAGAAGGAAGUUGGUCCUGCUAAAUUAUCAAAUGCACGAUCCUGGUCUCACAGCCCUGGAGAAGUCAGAGCUGUUUCUUGAUUACAGCUUUGAGUUUUUACAAAAGUAUGAGAGUGUCAUAUGUCACACAAGAUGUCAAGAGGAGGAGAUUUUUAGAAAACAGCAGGAUCUACAAAAACUUAAAAAAAAAAAAUCAAGAAGUCCUGGAACACAAGAUGUCAAGAGGAGGAGAUUUUUAGAAAACAGCAGGAUCUACAAAAACUUUUUUUUAAAAUCAAGAAGUCCUGGAACUUCUUUUCACAAGUGAUGUAGAGGAAGAAAAAUAGACAAGACUGAACUUUCAUUCUCCACGAAUCCCCCCUCUGCAGCUGUUUUGAGACUGAAGGAGCCCCAAAAAAAUGCCUGAAGAAGAUGUGCCUGAUGAAGAAUCUGUGCCUGAACAAGUUGUGCUGAGCACCACUGAGCAGUGACCAGCCAAAGCUGAGAAAAGAAAGAAUGCUGACU